GAGAUUAUUGAGCAUUCUGGAGCA
RNAcentral lists this small nuclear RNA (24 nucleotides) under Arabidopsis thaliana (thale cress). Its description in RNAcentral is "snRNA_16347". The record is from RNAcentral. Lineage: Eukaryota; Viridiplantae; Streptophyta; Magnoliopsida; Brassicales; Brassicaceae.